Salvia hispanica is the source of this 692-nucleotide non-coding RNA. The record is from RefSeq and is a predicted model, not a curated record. Lineage: Eukaryota; Viridiplantae; Streptophyta; Magnoliopsida; Lamiales; Lamiaceae.
CUAGGCAAAAACUCGCUUUCGUUUCUUUAUCCUUUGAAUUUUGUUUUCUUGAUGAAGUUCUGAAGCAGGAAAAAAUCUCUUUCACCAUCCGUUGGGGCAUAGAGAAUCAUAGAGAUUUUGAAGAUAAUACGAAGCCAGGUCCAGCCUUUACCUUUUUCCACAUGGCUUGAAAAUGAAGGUGAUAUUGGUGCCCUUUUGAGGUCCCAAAGUGGAGAACUACUCUGCAAGCCGUAGGAUACAGCUCAUUUAUGGCCAGUCCCCACUACUCCACAACAACGGAAAAAUGGGACAACUGAGAAGAAUCAAUGAGAAAUUGCCUAUCGUUUUCUAAUUAUGAGGUCUGAUAAAUGGGAUGUCUCGUUCUCCUGUUCCAACAGGAACACCAUGUUUUACUGGUUCAUUGUUCUCUUCCUAUCAUUUCAUUAAAAAAAUACUAUAAGAUUGCUUUCAGGUUUAAUUCAUACACCACCACUUGUUCAAGUUGAUGGAAUUGACCCUUUUGUACUGUUUUUACAUGAAUUCCAAUCUUUUGAUGUUACAUUGAUUCUUAACAUGUUAUACAUGAAUAGUUUGCCCUCUUGUUUGGCUUGCUUCUACAAAGAUGUCAACUUUAAACAUAAGCAAUGUCUGUUUGUAUGAGAAGAUUUCAACAUCAAGGGAAAUUUAAUACAAAAUUGGGCUAUCUUUCAUUA